Molecule: ribosomal RNA, 213 nt
Filed under: uncultured soil bacterium
Lineage: Bacteria
Description: partial 16S ribosomal RNA
Rfam family: Bacterial small subunit ribosomal RNA
Source: RNAcentral
AGAUUGAACGCUGGCGGCAGGCCUAACACAUGCAAGUCGAGCGGCAGCACGGGUACUUGUACCUGGUGGCGAGCGGCGGACGGGUGAGUAAUGCCUAGGAAUCUGCCUGAUAGUGGGGGAUAACGCUCGGAAACGGACGCUAAUACCGCAUACGUCCUACGGGAGAAAGCGAGGGGACCCUCGGGCCUCGCGCCAUUAGAUGAGCCGUAGGUC